AAAACGUGUUCCCCUCUUUAUUUUUGACUCUCUUGGGCGAAGGAAUUUAACCUUAAUUAUUUACUAUUUUUGUUUAACCUUCAAUAAAGAAGGGCUUUUUCGCUGGCUAGGUUCAAUUCUAACCCUUCUAACCUCCUUUGGGGUAGGUUUGUGGGUAUGGCAGAAGGAGAUAGGAUCUGCCCAUGCGAUGCCCACCUGGUGGAAACUCUAGCUCACAUGGUCCUUAAAUGUAAAAUGUAUGAUGAUCUCCACCAACAAUUUCUAGACCAUCUAUGUAUUCCAACAUGGAAACCAGAGACGGAGGUUAUGCACUUCUUAUUACAGGGGAGAGACCAGGAGCUCACCAAGACAGUAGCUAAGUUCCUCUAUUUGAUUUUUUGUCGUCGAAGUACGCUACAGGAUCCUGCCCUUGCUGGAGACCCAUAGAGAUGAAAUAGAUUGCUCGCCUCUUCUUCCCUUUGGCAAAUGACUGUACUGUUGAAAUGGCAACGAGAUCGCACUGGCCUGAAUGUGAGGCCAAUAAAGGAAUCUCAACUAGAUUGUGCAUGGCAGAUGGCCCAGGGUUCACCAAAGCUGGAUCUGGGCAUGCAAGAAAUGCAAACAAUUAUUGCGUUUGGACUGAAAUUGUUGGCGUGUGCACAGCUGCUCUUUCUUCCACUUGUCCCUCCCUCCCCCCACCUUUCAUUGUUCUUCAGCCACUUUGCAGGCUGCAAAUGUACCAGCUUUUGUCGCCGCUGAGCUUGCAGAGGAUUGUCUGCAUCAGACUGCGUUUAAGCGUCACUGCACCAGGGCCGGAUUUAGGUUUGCUGAGGCCCUAAGCUACUGAAGAAGCCGAACAUCUGAUGCGGUUGUCAGCUAUUGUUUCCGGGGCGCCUGCACCAAUCAGAAGCCGUGCCUUGGUUUUGGAACAUUUCAGAGUCAAACGGACUUCCGGAAUGGAUUACAUUCCAGAACCAAGGUGCCACUGUAUUUGUUUUUGCUAAUUAUUUUGCCUUUCUGUUUUUGAGGCUUUUCCAGUUAAUUUGUUUUUGUGAGUGUGGAACCUAGUUCAGCUACUGAUUGAUUGAUGUGUGACUGUAGAAAUGGAUUAAAAAAACUAUCCAAACAGUGACUAUCAUCAGUACAGGUGGGAAAAAAUAAUAAUUUUAAUUUUUAUCAUCGAUAAUACUGUCUUAUUUAUUUAUUUAUAGUAAAGUACAUUGGUUAUUGCUUUCAUUUUAUGUAUCAGUGGUCUCGUUAGAUAGAAAAAUUCAUGUUAAAAUGAUGUUUUAGGGGUUGUUUUUAAAAGUCUGGAACGGAUUAAUCCAUUUUCUAUUACUUUCUAUGGGAAAGCACACCUUGGUUUUGGAACAAUGGACUUCCAGAAUGGAUUAAGUUUGAGAACCAAGGUAUCACUAUAUUAUUUAUAUUUAUAUUAUUUAUAUUUAUAUUUAUAUAUGGCUCUGGGAAUCGGGGAAGCCCUUCAAUACUGUUUCAUAGACAUUAAGUUACAUAUUCUUGUUUUGUGUAUUUGAGCCUUCAUUGCUUUUAUAAAGCAUUCAUGGUUUGCUGAAAGUUUGUAGACCACUAACCAAAGGGAGCGAUGGUGGUUCUUUUUUUAAAAAAAGCAAAAGUUGGAAUUAAAAGCGGAGUAGAAAUAAUAUACAUUCAAAGGCUGCCAUCUGUUGGUCAAAUAUAUUUCUUACAGGUUACUUGGCACGGUGGAGACAUUUUGCAUAGGGGGGGUUCCACUUUUGCUUUUAUUGUUCCAUUUUUGUUAGAUGAAGGGAUGAGAUGAUGGGAGGGCAAUGAGAAAUAAAUAAAUAAAUAAAGUAAAGGUAAAGGUAAAGGUAAAGGUAAAGGUAAAGGUAAAGGUAAAGGUAAAGGUAAAGGUACCCCUGCCCAUACGGGCCAGUCUUGACAGACUCUAGGGUUGUGCGCCCAUCUCACUCUAUAGGCCGAGAGCCAGCGCUGUCCGGAGACACUUCCGGGUCACGUGGCCAGCGUGACAAAGCUGCAUCUGGCGAGCCAGAGCCGCACACGGAAACGCCGUUUACCUUCCCGCUGGUAAGUGGUCCCUAUUUAUCUACUUGCACCUGGGAGUGCUUUCGAACUGCUAGGUUGGCAGGCGCUGGGACCGAACAACAGGAGCGCACCCCGCUGCGGGGAUUCGAACCGCCGACCUUUCGAUCGGCAAGCCCUAGGCACUGAGGCUUUUACCCACAGCGCCACCCGCGUCCCGAAAUAAAUAAAUAGGUUGAUGCUAAUAAAGAAGACUUUCUUCUUAACGGGAGGAAAGGGGGCGGUGGGGGAAAGAUCUAGGCAUUGCUUAGAUUGUCAGGGCAAUGCGUGUGUGUGAGAGAUGAAAAGUUUCAUCAAACUCUUCAUUACACAACUUCUUUGCUGUUGCUACAAUCCUCACUUACCAGUGUUUUCACACCAUACAGCUCCCUGUUUGUGAUCUUUUCGAAACCCGGAGUUAAGAGGAAGUGUGUGGAUUCUGGCAAUGCAGUAAUUAGGUACUUGGCAGUUCUUAAUGUGUAUUAAUAAUAUUAUAUUAUUAAUG
This is a long non-coding RNA of Podarcis muralis (Common wall lizard), 2545 nucleotides long. Lineage: Eukaryota; Metazoa; Chordata; Lepidosauria; Squamata; Lacertidae. The record is from Ensembl.